Molecule: long non-coding RNA, 487 nt
Filed under: Daphnia pulex (common water flea)
Lineage: Eukaryota; Metazoa; Arthropoda; Branchiopoda; Diplostraca; Daphniidae
Description: uncharacterized LOC124202117, transcript variant X2
Source: RNAcentral
UAUUUCUUCUAAUUUUAGAUGCAUAGCUACUGUCAGUCAUUCUAACAAGUUGACUUAGCGCUCAGUCACUUUCCAUCUAUAAGAUUCUCAUACUGUCAAAAGCCUAAAACUCCUGUUUGAAGCCCACAUAGAGUGGAAUAAAAAUGUGAGGAGAUAAGGUAUUUUCCCACUACUGCUACCACACCAACCACACUACGUCAAAUGCCUUACUAAAUCAUCACCCAAAUGAUAAAGUUUAUCCCACCUGAGUAAUGCUGUUGGCUGCUGUAAAUCCAUUAUUACGGUUUUUCAUCAUGAACAUUUCAGUGUGCUUCUUAGAAAAGAGCAUGCAAGAUCCCCACAGACAUCCUUUAGCAAUUGAAUGCUGGAUUUUGACCAUGACAGAAGAGGGACUUCCACCAACGUUCUGCUACAUCCUUAUCUUCAAGACGUACGCUCAUCCAGCUUCACUGCUUCAGUUCUUCUUUGCUGCUUCACUGGCGAGUUA